UAGGGAAUCUUCGGCAAUGGACGAAAGUCUGACCGAGCAACGCCGCGUGAGUGAAGAAGGUUUUCGGAUCGUAAAACUCUGUUGUUAGAGAAGAACAAGGACGUUAGUAACUGAACGUCCCCUGACGGUAUCUAACCAGAAAGCUACGGCUAACUACGUGCCAGCAGCCGCGGUAAUACGUAGGUGGCAAGUGUUGUCCGGAUUUAUUGGGCGUAAAGCGAGCGCCGGCGGUUUCUUAAGUCUGAUGUGAAAGCCCCCGGCUCAACCGGGGAGGGUCAUUGGAAACUCGGCGACUUGCGUGCAGAAGAGGAGAGUUGAAUUCCAUGUGUAGCGGUGAAAUGCGUAGUUAUAUGGAGGAACACCAGUGGCGAAGGCGGCUCUCUGGUCUGUAACUGACGCUGAGGCUCGAAAGCGUGGGGAGCAAACAGG
RNAcentral lists this ribosomal RNA (429 nucleotides) under Gemmatimonadota bacterium. RNAcentral's name for it is "Gemmatimonadetes bacterium partial 16S ribosomal RNA". It matches the Rfam family "Bacterial small subunit ribosomal RNA", at positions 355 to 776 of the family's 1533-position model. The record is from RNAcentral. Lineage: Bacteria; Pseudomonadati; Gemmatimonadota.